Long non-coding RNA from Nymphaea colorata (pocket water lily), 1324 nucleotides. RefSeq lists it as uncharacterized. The record is from RefSeq and is a predicted model, not a curated record. The transcript has 2 exons. NCBI's taxonomy places the organism in Eukaryota, Viridiplantae, Streptophyta, Magnoliopsida, Nymphaeales, Nymphaeaceae.
GUUUCUAGGAGAUGAACCAGUGUUUGUAGCGAUUCUUCCAGAUCUCUGGUCCCAUCGAGCAACCUGCUAUCAGAGCCUACUGAAUGGCCCUCCUCUGAACACAGCACAACCGAAGAGCCGAAUUUGAAUUGCCACUAUGGUGGCGUCGGGCAGCCAUGGUCCGGUAGCAGUGGAGGCGGCCGGUAUGUCUUUCUGAUGAUACACAACCAUCUCCUUGGAAGAAAUUCUGUCCGUCGUCAGUAACAGUUUACCGUGUCUUCCUGUACCAGAGUCUCUAAACCUGUUGUCUUUUCCGGGGGAGAGAUUCUGCCAAGAAGGACACCAAAAAAAAAAAGCAAAAGAAAGCCAAAGAAAAAUUGGUCCAUUGCGGGUAAAAUUUGCAAGUGAAGUUGAAAAUGGACAACACUAAAGAAGGACUUUAAGUUAUUACAGUAUGGUGAGGCUCUGUAUUGUCUGAUGCAGGUGAAAACCUAAUGUGAUCAUCAUGCUUCGGGCUUUCUUCUGAGUACAGAUGAAGAGGAAAACAUGCAAACAUGAAGGGAAGAGCUCAGAGCAGAUAUUUUCUGGGCGAGCAUGCGAAUAAGAGGGAAUUACGAAGAAAAGAAAGGAGUUUAGACGUGUGAAGUUGCUUACCGAGAGCCAAGAAAGAAUUGGAAUGGUUGGCGUUGUUUGCAGUGACCAAGCGCUCCUUCUUCUUGCGGAUAUCGUGGAGAAGUUUCUGAGCGAAGCUGGAUUUGGUGGGCAUGAUCGUAUGCCAAGACGGCAAACGGCUCUUGGAAAGAGCCAAAGAGUAGGAGGAGUUCUACUAAUAACUUGCCAAGCAGAAGCAGUUCUUUUCUGAACUUGCUUCCUUUGUCCUGAGCGAGGGAACUGCAGAGAUGCUGAUGAUGAUGAUAACUAGACGGUGGCAGUUGGCGAGGUGUUUCUGCUUGGGUGGUAACUGUCGCUGGUCCGGAAGUUGGUCGAUCGUCAUCUUUGUUGGAGAAGUUUGAAGCAAACGCUUGCUCUCUCUCUCCCCUUCUCUGUCUUUCUGCAAUGGCCCUUCCAUUGAGUAAGGUGCACUCUCUCUCCCCCUCUCUCUCUCCUACCGCCUCCUAGGAAGAAGAGGCCAUCUGUGAGUUUGGAUUUCUCCAAAUGGAUUGUAGUGGUUGAGGAAGUAUCUGCUGAGAAGCUACCCAAGAAGGAAUACAUCAAUCCCCAUCACUUACCUCUCUCCCCCCUCCACCCCUCGAUCAGGGCUUUGUGGCAAGCUUUGUUUCUUUUAGGAGACAUGCAGAAUUUGUUUUUGUAUUUAGAUAAUCUAAAACUUCUUCAAGUUUAGCAA